UCCCGCAUCCAGCCGUCCCGCGCGAUCUCUGCUGGCGCCUGGGGGGAGGGUACGCCGCCGCCUGGUUCAAAUCUGACCACCCUGCUCUAGUACAGCGCCUGCCAGACCUCCCUCCGCUUGGCCAGUCCAGGUGCAGCCAACCAGGACGACCAGGACGCCCGACGGUCACCUCUAGACCUCCCUCCGCUCCAGAUCAGGACGCUCAGCCGACGCUGGCAAGAUCUCUCUCUGCUCUUCUGUGCCUCCCCAUUCUUCUAUCAAUGAUCAAUCUAUCCUAGCAUAAAGCAUCCAUAUGUGAUUUUUUUUGAAGUACAGAAUCAAACUGUGUUGUUUUUGCUGUCCUGAUGAAAAUUGUUGAUAAAUAAUGAGAGGUAUUGGAGAAAAGAAUUAGAUAUUGGUAUUGGUAUUUGGUAAUUACCAUUUGUUUGAUUGUUAUCAUAUUUGCUAUCCAGUACAUGAAAACACGGUCAUGAGAAAUCAUACACAUAAUUUACUAUAUCCAGUACAUGAACAGUUGACCAGUGACAUGAUAACGAUUUGUGUGAUUGUUUGCCAUUCUAACAAGUUACUCUAACAGUGCCACUCUACCAAAGUAACAAGGCCACAUAGUCUUCUUUGAACUUCUAAAGUGUAUCAAUGGAUUUAGAAUCUAUAAAGGAGCUAUUGCUUUCUCCUAGACCAAGUGAGGAAUGCUUGGCUGGUGUAGCUGGUUUUCUUGACUUUGCGUACAUAGAGGGCAAGUCAAAGAAUAAUUUUAAGGCACGACUUGACCUGCAGGACAUGAAAAUCAGGCCAGAGCUACAUCCUAAAAAUAAACCUACCGACGAGUAUUUUCUUCUAGCUGCUUCUUAUACCAUGUCAAAGAAAGAGAAGCAUCAGUUUUUCAAAGUACUUCAUGAUAUAAAAGUUCUAGAUAGUUACUUGGGGAACUCAAAAAAACAGAAGGAACAGUUUUGCAAAGUACUUCGUGAUAUAAAAGUUCCAGACGGGUAUUUGGAGGAAUGAGGAAAUUUUGCCAGCGGAGAUUAGAAGGAUUGUUCUAAACUGGUGCAUGAAGCUAUGCGCUCUUUUAGGACAUUUUUAUGUCUGCAUAGUUUUUGCUCUUCAAACAUGAAGCUUGAAAAAAAUACGAAACUUUGUACCGAGUUAAGCUUUAUGUA
This is a long non-coding RNA of Triticum dicoccoides, 1160 nucleotides long. RefSeq lists it as uncharacterized. NCBI's taxonomy places the organism in Eukaryota, Viridiplantae, Streptophyta, Magnoliopsida, Poales, Poaceae. The transcript has 3 exons. The record is from RefSeq and is a predicted model, not a curated record.